RNAcentral lists this long non-coding RNA (423 nucleotides) under Androctonus crassicauda. Lineage: Eukaryota; Metazoa; Arthropoda; Arachnida; Scorpiones; Buthidae. The record is from RNAcentral.
CUGGUUUUUAGAAUUCUUAAGAUCAUCUGUGGUGAAAAGUAGUUAUGAAGCUGGGCUUGGUGACAGACCACCAUGGGAUCCCAGCACUCAACAGGCAGAUGUUAGUUCAAGGUCGGUCUACAUAGCAAGUUCCAGACCAGCCACAGUUACAAGGUGGGAUGCUACCUACUGGUUAUGGGAAUUUCAUAAUUCAGGAUAACAGUGGUGUAUCUUACGUACUUUUGUGACUUGCCCAUAUCCACCACUGGAUUUUGGUCCGAGACUUCGUGUCUUCUCCUUGGAAAUGCUGGGCCUGUGGGGAGGUGUUGUGCAGUGUCAGAUGCAGGAGAUUCCCGUCUUUGUCUCGUCUUGUGCUGUUCUCCCACGGUGAAGCACUGGCUUUGCAACACUGAGAAAUAAAUAAAACACUCAUGUCCUUGUUCG